GACGAACGCUGGCGGCGUGCCUAAUACAUGCAAGUAGAACGCACAGUUUAUACCGUAGCUUGCUACACCAUAGACUGUGAGUUGCGAACGGGUGAGUAACGCGUAGGUAACCUGCCUGGUAGCGGGGGAUAACUAUUGGAAACGAUAGCUAAUACCGCAUAAUAUUAAUUAUUGCAUGAUAAUUAAUUGAAAGGUGCAAUUGCACCACUACCAGAUGGACCUGCGUUGUAUUAGCUAGUAGGUGAGGUAACGGCUCACCUAGGCGACGAUACAUAGCCGACCUGAGAGGGUGAUCGGCCACACUGGGACUGAGACACGGCCCAGACUCCUACGGGAGGCAGCAGUAGGGAAUCUUCGGCAAUGGACGAAAGUCUGACCGAGCAACGCCGCGUGAGUGGAGAAGGUUUUCGGAUCGUAAAGCUCUGUUGUAAGAGAAGAACGGGUGUGAGAGUGGAAAGUUCACACUGUGACGGUAUCUUACCAGAAAGGGACGGCUAACUACGU
RNAcentral lists this ribosomal RNA (504 nucleotides) under uncultured bacterium. Its description in RNAcentral is "partial 16S ribosomal RNA". It matches the Rfam family "Bacterial small subunit ribosomal RNA", at positions 28 to 506 of the family's 1533-position model. The record is from RNAcentral.